GACGAACGCUGGCGGCGUGCUUAACACAUGCAAGUCGAACGGACAGACAGAGAGCUUGCUCUCUUGAAGUUAGUGGCGAACGGGUGAGUAACGCGUAAUCAACCUGCCCUUCAGAGGGGGAUAACAACGGGAAACCGUUGCUAAUACCGCGUACGAUUCAUGAACGGCAUCGUUUAUGAAUGAAAGGUGGCCUCUAUGUAUAAGCUAUCGCUGAAGGAGGGGAUUGCGUCUGAUUAGCUAGUUGGAGGGGUAACGGCCCACCAAGGCAAUGAUCAGUAGCCGGUCUGAGAGGGUGAACGGCCACAUUGGGACGGAGACACGGCCCAAACUCCUCCGGGAGGCAGCAGUGGGGAAUCUUCCGCAAUGGACGAAAGUCUGACGGAGCGACGCUGCGUGAGUGAUGAAGGUCUUCGGAUUGUAAAGCUCUGUUAAUCGGGACGAAAGAGUUCUGCGUGAAUAAUGCAGAAAAGUGACGGUACCGGAAUAGAAAGCCACGGCUAACUACGUGCCAGCAGCCGCCGUAA
Molecule: ribosomal RNA, 524 nt
Filed under: uncultured bacterium
Lineage: Bacteria
Description: partial 16S ribosomal RNA
Rfam family: Bacterial small subunit ribosomal RNA
Source: RNAcentral